GACGAACGCUGGCGGCGUGCUUAACACAUGCAAGUCGAGCGGUAAGGCCCUUUCGGGGGUACGACGAGCGGCGAACGGGUGAGUAACACGUGGGUGACCUGCCCUCAGCUCUGGGAUAAGCCCGGGGAACUGGGUCUAAUACUGGAUAUGACUCCAUGACGCAUGUUGUGGGGUGGAAAGCCUUGUGCGGCUGAGGAUGGGCCCGCGGCCUAUCAGCUUGUUGGUGGGGNGAUGGCCUACCAAGGCGACGACGGGUAGCCGGCCUGAGAGGGCGACCGGCCACACUGGGACUGAGACACGGCCCAGACUCCUACGGGAGGCAGCAGUGGGGAAUCUUGCGCAAUGGGCGAAAGCCUGACGCAGCGACGCCGCGUGAGGGAUGACGGCCUGUGUAAC
RNAcentral lists this ribosomal RNA (396 nucleotides) under uncultured bacterium. RNAcentral's name for it is "bacterial SSU rRNA". It matches the Rfam family "Bacterial small subunit ribosomal RNA", at positions 28 to 429 of the family's 1533-position model. The record is from RNAcentral.